CCUACGGGAGGCAGCAGUGGGGAAUAUUGGACAAUGGGCGCAAGCCUGAUCCAGCAAUGCCGCGUGUGUGAAGAAGGUUUUCGGAUUGUAAAGCACUUUCGACGGGGACGAUGAUGACGGUACCCGUAGAAGAAGCCCCGGCUAACUUCGUGCCAGCAGCCGCGGUAAUACGAAGGGGGCUAGCGUUGCUCGGAAUGACUGGGCGUAAAGGGCGCGUAGGCGGACCGUACAGUCGGGCGUGAAAUUCCUGGGCUCAACCUGGGGACUGCGCUCGAGACGUAAGGUCUAGAGUAUGGAAGAGGGUCGUGGAAUUCCCAGUGUAGAGGUGAAAUUCGUAGAUAUUGGGAAGAACACCGGUGGCGAAGGCGGCGACCUGGUCCAUUACUGACGCUGAGGCGCGAAAGCGUGGGGAGCAAACAGGAUUAGAUACCCUGGUAGUCCACGCCGUAAACGAUGUGCGCUGAUGUCGGCGGCGUGUCCGUUCGGUGUCGUAGCUACGCGAUAGCGCACCGCCGUCGGGUAGGUACGGCCGCGACGGUAGUAACGUACGAAACGGAAGUUAGACGGCGUGUAAGACGUGCCGACGGACGACGACGAGGGAGGUUAGG
Molecule: ribosomal RNA, 608 nt
Filed under: uncultured bacterium
Lineage: Bacteria
Description: bacterial SSU rRNA
Rfam family: Bacterial small subunit ribosomal RNA (bases 1-514)
Source: RNAcentral